UUAAGCGACUAAGCGUACACGGUGGAUGCCCUGGCAGUCAGAGGCGAUGAAGGACGUGCUAAUCUGCGAUAAGCGUCGGUAAGGUGAUAUGAACCGUUAUAACCGGCGAUUUCCGAAUGGGGAAACCCAGUGUGAUUCGUCACACUAUCAUUAACUGAAUCCAUAGGUUAAUGAGGCGAACCGGGGGAACUGAAACAUCUAAGUACCCCGAGGAAAAGAAAUCAACCGAGAUUCCCCCAGUAGCGGCGAGCGAACGGGGAGCAGCCCAGAGCCUGAAUCAGUGUGUGUGUUAGUGGAAGCGUCUGGAAAGGCGCGCGAUACAGGGUGACAGCCCCGUACACAAAAAUGCACAUGCUGUGAGCUCGAUGAGUAGGGCGGGACACGUGGUAUCCUGUCUGAAUAUGGGGGGACCAUCCUCCAAGGCUAAAUACUCCUGACUGACCGAUAGUGAACCAGUACCGUGAGGGAAAGGCGAAAAGAACCCCGGCGAGGGGAGUGAAAAAGAACCUGAAACCGUGUACGUACAAGCAGUGGGAGCACGCUUAGGCGUGUGACUGCGUACCUUUUGUAUAAUGGGUCAGCGACUUAUAUUCUGUAGCAAGGUUAACCGAAUAGGGGAGCCGAAGGGAAACCGAGUCUUAACUGGGCGUUAAGUUGCAGGGUAUAGACCCGAAACCCGGUGAUCUAGCCAUGGGCAGGUUGAAGGUUGGGUAACACUAACUGGAGGACCGAACCGACUAAUGUUGAAAAAUUAGCGGAUGACUUGUGGCUGGGGGUGAAAGGCCAAUCAAACCGGGAGAUAGCUGGUUCUCCCCGAAAGCUAUUUAGGUAGCGCCUCGUGAAUUCAUCUCCGGGGGUAGAGCACUGUUUCGGCAAGGGGGUCAUCCCGACUUACCAACCCGAUGCAAACUGCGAAUACCGGAGAAUGUUAUCACGGGAGACACACGGCGGGUGCUAACGUCCGUCGUGAAGAGGGAAACAACCCAGACCGCCAGCUAAGGUCCCAAAGUCAUGGUUAAGUGGGAAACGAUGUGGGAAGGCCCAGACAGCCAGGAUGUUGGCUUAGAAGCAGCCAUCAUUUAAAGAAAGCGUAAUAGCUCACUGGUCGAGUCGGCCUGCGCGGAAGAUGUAACGGGGCUAAACCAUGCACCGAAGCUGCGGCAGCGACGCUGAUGCGUUGUUGGGUAGGGGAGCGUUCUGUAAGCCUGUGAAGGUGUACUGUGAGGUAUGCUGGAGGUAUCAGAAGUGCGAAUGCUGACAUAAGUAACGAUAAAGCGGGUGAAAAGCCCGCUCGCCGGAAGACCAAGGGUUCCUGUCCAACGUUAAUCGGGGCAGGGUGAGUCGACCCCUAAGGCGAGGCCGAAAGGCGUAGUCGAUGGGAAACAGGUUAAUAUUCCUGUACUUGGUGUUACUGCGAAGGGGGGACGGAGAAGGCUAUGUUGGCCGGGCGACGGUUGUCCCGGUUUAAGCGUGUAGGCUGGUUUUCCAGGCAAAUCCGGAAAAUCAAGGCUGAGGUGUGAUGACGAGGCACUACGGUGCUGAAGCAACAAAUGCCCUGCUUCCAGGAAAAGCCUCUAAGCAUCAGGUAACAUCAAAUCGUACCCCAAACCGACACAGGUGGUCAGGUAGAGAAUACCAAGGCGCUUGAGAGAACUCGGGUGAAGGAACUAGGCAAAAUGGUGCCGUAACUUCGGGAGAAGGCACGCUGAUAUGUAGGUGAAGUCCCUCGCGGAUGGAGCUGAAAUCAGUCGAAGAUACCAGCUGGCUGCAACUGUUUAUUAAAAACACAGCACUGUGCAAACACGAAAGUGGACGUAUACGGUGUGACGCCUGCCCGGUGCCGGAAGGUUAAUUGAUGGGGUCAGCGCAAGCGAAGCUCUUGAUCGAAGCCCCGGUAAACGGCGGCCGUAACUAUAACGGUCCUAAGGUAGCGAAAUUCCUUGUCGGGUAAGUUCCGACCUGCACGAAUGGCGUAAUGAUGGCCAGGCUGUCUCCACCCGAGACUCAGUGAAAUUGAACUCGCUGUGAAGAUGCAGUGUACCCGCGGCAAGACGGAAAGACCCCGUGAACCUUUACUAUAGCUUGACACUGAACAUUGAGCCUUGAUGUGUAGGAUAGGUGGGAGGCUUUGAAGUGUGGACGCCAGUCUGCAUGGAGCCGACCUUGAAAUACCACCCUUUAAUGUUUGAUGUUCUAACGUGGACCCGUAAUCCGGGUUGCGGACAGUGUCUGGUGGGUAGUUUGACUGGGGCGGUCUCCUCCUAAAGAGUAACGGAGGAGCACGAAGGUUGGCUAAUCCUGGUCGGACAUCAGGAGGUUAGUGCAAUGGCAUAAGCCAGCUUGACUGCGAGCGUGACGGCGCGAGCAGGUGCGAAAGCAGGUCAUAGUGAUCCGGUGGUUCUGAAUGGAAGGGCCAUCGCUCAACGGAUAAAAGGUACUCCGGGGAUAACAGGCUGAUACCGCCCAAGAGUUCAUAUCGACGGCGGUGUUUGGCACCUCGAUGUCGGCUCAUCACAUCCUGGGGCUGAAGUAGGUCCCAAGGGUAUGGCUGUUCGCCAUUUAAAGUGGUACGCGAGCUGGGUUUAGAACGUCGUGAGACAGUUCGGUCCCUAUCUGCCGUGGGCGCUGGAGAACUGAGGGGGGCUGCUCCUAGUACGAGAGGACCGGAGUGGACGCAUCACUGGUGUUCGGGUUGUCAUGCCAAUGGCACUGCCCGGUAGCUAAAUGCGGAAGAGAUAAGUGCUGAAAGCAUCUAAGCACGAAACUUGCCCCGAGAUGAGUUCUCCCUGACUCCUUGAGAGUCCUGAAGGAACGUUGAAGACGACGACGUUGAUAGGCCGGGUGUGUAAGCGCAGCGAUGCGUUGAGCUAACCGGUACUAAUGAACCGUGAGGCUUAACCUU
Molecule: ribosomal RNA, 2902 nt
Filed under: Escherichia coli
Lineage: Bacteria; Pseudomonadati; Pseudomonadota; Gammaproteobacteria; Enterobacterales; Enterobacteriaceae
Description: bacterial LSU rRNA
Rfam family: Bacterial large subunit ribosomal RNA
Source: RNAcentral